This 2352-nucleotide ribosomal RNA is filed under the name Escherichia coli. RNAcentral's name for it is "partial 23S ribosomal RNA". It matches the Rfam family "Bacterial large subunit ribosomal RNA", at positions 582 to 2915 of the family's 2925-position model. Lineage: Bacteria; Pseudomonadati; Pseudomonadota; Gammaproteobacteria; Enterobacterales; Enterobacteriaceae. The record is from RNAcentral.
UCUUUAUGGGGUGACUGCGUACCUUUUGUAUAAUGGGUCAGCGACUUAUAUUCUGUAGCAAGGUUAACCGAAUAGGGGAGCCGAAGGGAAACCGAGUCUUAACUGGGCGUUAAGUUGCAGGGUAUAGACCCGAAACCCGGUGAUCUAGCCAUGGGCAGGUUGAAGGUUGGGUAACACUAACUGGAGGACCGAACCGACUAAUGUUGAAAAAUUAGCGGAUGACUUGUGGCUGGGGGUGAAAGGCCAAUCAAACCGGGAGAUAGCUGGUUCUCCCCGAAAGCUAUUUAGGUAGCGCCUCGUGAAUUCAUCUCCGGGGGUAGAGCACUGUUUCGGCAAGGGGGUCAUCCCGACUUACCAACCCGAUGCAAACUGCGAAUACCGGAGAAUGUUAUCACGGGAGACACACGGCGGGUGCUAACGUCCGUCGUGAAGAGGGAAACAACCCAGACCGCCAGCUAAGGUCCCAAAGUCAUGGUUAAGUGGGAAACGAUGUGGGAAGGCCCAGACAGCCAGGAUGUUGGCUUAGAAGCAGCCAUCAUUUAAAGAAAGCGUAAUAGCUCACUGGUCGAGUCGGCCUGCGCGGAAGAUGUAACGGGGCUAAACCAUGCACCGAAGCUGCGGCAGCGACACUAUGUGUUGUUGGGUAGGGGAGCGUUCUGUAAGCCUGUGAAGGUGUACUGUGAGGUAUGCUGGAGGUAUCAGAAGUGCGAAUGCUGACAUAAGUAACGAUAAAGCGGGUGAAAAGCCCGCUCGCCGGAAGACCAAGGGUUCCUGUCCAACGUUAAUCGGGGCAGGGUGAGUCGACCCCUAAGGCGAGGCCGAAAGGCGUAGUCGAUGGGAAACAGGUUAAUAUUCCUGUACUUGGUGUUACUGCGAAGGGGGGACGGAGAAGGCUAUGUUGGCCGGGCGACGGUUGUCCCGGUUUAAGCGUGUAGGCUGGUUUUCCAGGCAAAUCCGGAAAAUCAAGGCUGAGGCGUGAUGACGAGGCACUACGGUGCUGAAGCAACAAAUGCCCUGCUUCCAGGAAAAGCCUCUAAGCAUCAGGUAACAUCAAAUCGUACCCCAAACCGACACAGGUGGUCAGGUAGAGAAUACCAAGGCGCUUGAGAGAACUCGGGUGAAGGAACUAGGCAAAAUGGUGCCGUAACUUCGGGAGAAGGCACGCUGAUAUGUAGGUGAAGCGACUUGCUCGUGGAGCUGAAAUCAGUCGAAGAUACCAGCUGGCUGCAACUGUUUAUUAAAAACACAGCACUGUGCAAACACGAAAGUGGACGUAUACGGUGUGACGCCUGCCCGGUGCCGGAAGGUUAAUUGAUGGGGUUAGCGCAAGCGAAGCUCUUGAUCGAAGCCCCGGUAAACGGCGGCCGUAACUAUAACGGUCCUAAGGUAGCGAAAUUCCUUGUCGGGUAAGUUCCGACCUGCACGAAUGGCGUAAUGAUGGCCAGGCUGUCUCCACCCGAGACUCAGUGAAAUUGAACUCGCUGUGAAGAUGCAGUGUACCCGCGGCAAGACGGAAAGACCCCGUGAACCUUUACUAUAGCUUGACACUGAACAUUGAGCCUUGAUGUGUAGGAUAGGUGGGAGGCUUUGAAGUGUGGACGCCAGUCUGCAUGGAGCCGACCUUGAAAUACCACCCUUUAAUGUUUGAUGUUCUAACGUUGGCCCGUUAUCCGGGUUGCGGACAGUGUCUGGUGGGUAGUUUGACUGGGGCGGUCUCCUCCUAAAGAGUAACGGAGGAGCACGAAGGUUGGCUAAUCCUGGUCGGACAUCAGGAGGUUAGUGCAAUGGCAUAAGCCAGCUUGACUGCGAGCGUGACGGCGCGAGCAGGUGCGAAAGCAGGUCAUAGUGAUCCGGUGGUUCUGAAUGGAAGGGCCAUCGCUCAACGGAUAAAAGGUACUCCGGGGAUAACAGGCUGAUACCGCCCAAGAGUUCAUAUCGACGGCGGUGUUUGGCACCUCGAUGUCGGCUCAUCACAUCCUGGGGCUGAAGUAGGUCCCAAGGGUAUGGCUGUUCGCCAUUUAAAGUGGUACGCGAGCUGGGUUUAGAACGUCGUGAGACAGUUCGGUCCCUAUCUGCCGUGGGCGCUGGAGAACUGAGGGGGGCUGCUCCUAGUACGAGAGGACCGGAGUGGACGCAUCACUGGUGUUCGGGUUGUCAUGCCAAUGGCACUGCCCGGUAGCUAAAUGCGGAAGAGAUAAGUGCUGAAAGCAUCUAAGCACGAAACUUGCCCCGAGAUGAGUUCUCCCUGACUCCCUGAGAGUCCUGAAGGAACGUUGAAGACGACGACGUUGAUAGGCCGGGUGUGUAAGCGCAGCGAUGCGUUGAGCUAACCGGUACUAAUGAACCGUGAGG